AUGGUUUAACCCCUUCCCUUACUA
Molecule: transfer RNA, 24 nt
Filed under: Columbina passerina (common ground-dove)
Lineage: Eukaryota; Metazoa; Chordata; Aves; Columbiformes; Columbidae
Also listed under: 3 other names
Description: partial tRNA-Met
Source: RNAcentral